This 117-nucleotide small nuclear RNA is filed under the name Helianthus annuus (common sunflower). The record is from RNAcentral. Lineage: Eukaryota; Viridiplantae; Streptophyta; Magnoliopsida; Asterales; Asteraceae.
UUUUUUGACCCUUCGAGGAGAUAUGAUAUUAUUGAAACAAUACAGAUAAGAUAAGAUUAGCAUGACCUGUGGCGCGCAAGGAUGAUACGCAUAAAUCAAGAUUUAUUCUCGUGAUCU